UACAGAGGGUGCAAGCGUUGUUCGGAAUUAUUGGGCGUAAAGGGAGUGUAGGCGGCCAUUUAAGUCUUCUGUGAAAUUUACGGGCUCAACCUGUAACGUGCAGAGGAUACUGAGUGGCUUGAGUGUCGGAGAGGAUAGUGGAAUUCCCGGUGUAGAGGUGAAAUUCGUAGAGAUCGGGAGGAACACCAGUGGCGAAGGCGACUGUCUGGCUGACAACUGACGCUGAGACUCGAAAGCAUGGGGAGCAAACAGG
Molecule: ribosomal RNA, 253 nt
Filed under: uncultured bacterium
Lineage: Bacteria
Description: partial 16S ribosomal RNA
Rfam family: Bacterial small subunit ribosomal RNA
Source: RNAcentral